UACGGAGGGUGCAAGCGUUAAUCGGAAUUACUGGGCGUAAAGCGUGCGUAGGCGGCUCUUUAAGUCGGAUGUGAAAUCCCCGGGCUCAACCUGGGAACUGCAUCCGAUACUGGGGAGCUAGAAUUUGGGAGAGGGAAGUGGAAUUUCCGGUGUAGCGGUGAAAUGCAUAGAGAUCGGAAGGAACAUCAGUGGCGAAGGCGACUUCCUGGACCAAAAUUGACGCUGAGGCACGAAAGCGUGGGUAGCAAACAGGAUUAGAUACCCUGGUAGUCCACGCCGUAAACGAUGUCAACUAGCCGUCGGCUCCAACUAAGGGGUCGGUGGUGCAGCUAACGCAUUAAGUUGACCGCCUGGGGAGUACGCGCGCAAGCGUAAA
This 376-nucleotide ribosomal RNA is filed under the name uncultured bacterium. RNAcentral describes it as "bacterial SSU rRNA". It matches the Rfam family "Bacterial small subunit ribosomal RNA", at positions 524 to 898 of the family's 1533-position model. The record is from RNAcentral.